UACGAAGGGGGCUAGCGUUGUUCGGAUUUACUGGGCGUAAAGCGCACGUAGGCGGAUCGUUAAGUCGGGGGUGAAAUCCUGGAGCUCAACUCCAGAACUGCCUUCGAUACUGGCGAUCUCGAGUCCGGAAGAGGUGAGUGGAACUCCUAGUGUAGAGGUGGAAUUCGUAGAUAUUAGGAAGAACACCAGUGGCGAAGGCGACUCACUGGUCCGGUACUGACGCUGAGGCACGAAGCUAGGGGAGCAAACAGG
This 252-nucleotide ribosomal RNA is filed under the name uncultured bacterium. RNAcentral's name for it is "partial 16S ribosomal RNA". It matches the Rfam family "Bacterial small subunit ribosomal RNA", at positions 524 to 776 of the family's 1533-position model. The record is from RNAcentral.